Long non-coding RNA from Thalassophryne amazonica, 153 nucleotides. RefSeq lists it as uncharacterized. The record is from RefSeq and is a predicted model, not a curated record. NCBI's taxonomy places the organism in Eukaryota, Metazoa, Chordata, Actinopteri, Batrachoidiformes, Batrachoididae. The transcript is spliced from 4 exons.
AGAAGCUCCACUUCUGCGCUCUCAUCUCUUUGGCUUUGAUGAAGCUGUGAUGACUGCGGUUUUUCUUCAUCUUCACUCCAGAGGUCCACUUGUUCCUCUUUGAUGUUUGUAGGCUCUGAGUUCUUUUGAUCCAGACUCUGAUUCCCUUCCUGC